GAAAACGAGGCAGAUUCAAAUGCCUGCUCCCAAACCAGGAAAUACAAUGAUAAGCAGCAGAAUAUAUAACCACAAAUAUGUUGAGGUCUAGGCUCCCCACAGCAAAUAAUAGGGAUUAUUGAAAGAAUUCAACGAUGUAAGAAAAUUCAUUAUAACAUGUUACACAAAUUUAUUAGUGUAGUCCAAUAACAAAUACGAAUCUGACUGGAUUGUGAUCACAAUGAAAAGGAAUAGCAAAACUUGGAAAAAUAUAAGCUGGAAACUUUAGAAUCUAGAGGCUAGUCAUCUUUUUGACACUAACACCAUUUUGCCAAUCAUAGAAAAAUAGAAGUACAUUAAAACCAUUAAACCUUCUUUUGGGACAAAAGACCAUAGUCAAAGUGUCAGAAGAAUCCCAUGUUCAAUCCACCCUCCAAUGUUAUUUGUAGGAAGGGAAUUAUACUGAUUGACCACUGCCUUCAACAUUUUUUCUUUGCCAAAAAAAUUUUGGCCUCUAUUAUUGGAACUCUAUAAGCACCUUCUCCCUCCCUAUCUUCUCUCCUUUUUCUCUAAAAAGCACGAGGUUUGGAAGUCUCCUGUACACCUUCUCUCACACAAUACUAUGUUUUGUCAAUCAUUUUACUUUAAAAAUUUCUUGGAUGAAUAUUAUAUUUAACUAGGAAAGAUUCUCACGUAAAAAACACCCUUAAAAUGUUGAAAAAAAAAAUCCCAAACACAUAUAAACAUAUCAAAAGCAUAAAAUCCUUGAAGGACUGUUAGAUAUGAACAAUGGUCCUUGGAAAUGACUCACAAGUCAUAGAGCACAUUGCACAAGGACACGGCAAAAAGCAACCUGUUCAUGAUGUUCAUAUGCCCAAGAUACACAAAGCAAAAGAGUAAGCUGUUCACAAUGUGCAUUGUCUGACACUGAGACAAACAUGCACUUGCAUAUACACACAGGGAAAAAGUAAACUGUCCAUGCCAACAUGCCAAGAAGGCAAUAUGUAAAAGAGUUCCCAUCCUGGAGAAGAAAGUAACAAGCUCUCUUGCCUUGUUCUUUUCCUCUUAAUAAACAAACUACAUCAGAGCAAACAGACCAGAAAAGAAUGCCAGAAUCAAUUGAGUCCUGCCCUUCACAGAAGGAGAAGGGCCAUAUGUAUUGCAACAAUUCAGAUUACGAUUCAUACGUAAUAAAAAUUGAAAUAUAAGCAAAGACAAUAUAAAUGCCAUAAAAUAACAAAUGAUACGCAUUUUCUCCACAUUCUACAGAUGAAGCAACUAUAAUGUCAUAAUGUCUGUAUAUUAGCUAGAGGCAGAGGUGCAGAUAGACAUAGGAAAACGAAGAUUGAAAGGAAAAGAAAGUUCGUAGAAAUUUCAGUCUCAAUGAAGACUGGGAUCCAUAUCAAAGAAGGGCAAGAUAAAACAUUCUCUCAAGUAGCGUUGUGGGUGUGCUUUCAUAGCUACAGGGGAUAUUGUUCAUCCUCAAAAGCAGCUAGAGCAAUAAUCAAAACAAAAUAAUAGUAAAUCAAUGCCACGAGAUACAAACUGAAACAAAUAUUUAUUGAGUUCAUUUUUAAUUUUAUUGGCAAAUAUUGCAUAAUUCCAACGUUAAAGAAUUCGCAACUAUUAAUAAUUCAACCAAGGAAAAAUGGGAUCUAGUAAAUACAUAUUAAAAUGUUGAAAUGAAUAAGUGAAGUGGCUUGGAGAGCUAACCAAUAGAAGCACUUGUAUAGAGAC
RNAcentral lists this unclassified non-coding RNA (1716 nucleotides) under Hevea brasiliensis (rubber tree). The record is from RNAcentral. Lineage: Eukaryota; Viridiplantae; Streptophyta; Magnoliopsida; Malpighiales; Euphorbiaceae.